CCCCGAUCGAUGCAAUAUCAUUAGGCGAGCGGCACGGAGCCGUGCGGGGCCGGGGGAGCGGGGAGGCGGCGGCACAGCCCGGGGCCGGGCCGUGGGCCCGAGCCGCUGCUGGCACGGCUGAACCCGCCGGGCUUUUCCUCCCUCUCCGCCUUCCCGAGCAGGGCUCGGAGCGCCCCGAGGCCGCGGGGAUGGCCGGGGGCAGAGCCCCGUGCCCGGGCGGGGUCCCGGCACCGCACCGCUCUGCCCGCGGCCGCUGCGCGCCCCAACGCGGAGCCCGCUCGGAGGCGGCCGGGGCCCUCUCCCCCUCUUUCCAUUCGCCAGCUGGAUGCUAUUGAUCCCUUCCCUCGCCUCCUCUUUCUUCCUGAGCUCCCUCUCUCUAUUUAAUUCCCAUCCCUCCGCUCCUCCGAAGCCGCCCGGGCAGCUCUCCGAGAGGAGCCGGGCAGUGCCGGCACCCCGAGGCGCGGAGCCGGGGGCGGAAGAGCUCGAAAACCCAAGCGCCACGGCCAGAAACACAUCCAGAGGAGUGGGACGCGCACCUGCGGGCAGGGGUUGUGGCAGCCGGCGGACAGGGAUGACACCUGGAAAUGCAGACCGGACCCUGGACCCCUUGGAGCCGAUGAGCCAUCGUUUCGGGCAGUUUGUUGGGAUGCUGAGCUGGAAGGACAGCCAUAAAGCUGCGGUGAGGGGAGGAUGCUGAAGGAUGGCCCCUGGAUGCCCGGAGCGGGGUCCCACUUCCCCAUGUCCCCAGAACACCCAAGGGCUCGUGAACCCCCCUGGGGUGCCCAGGGAAGCUUUGUUCUCUCACCCUCACUCCUGGAGCUGGACUGGGAAGUGCUGCUGGAUGUACCAAGCGUGUGCAGCCCCGAGGUAUCUCCUUCAGGAGCCUAACGACGGAAAAAUCCCUCCUAGGUCACGCAGCCCCGUCCUCCCUCCCUGCUGGAGCAGGGCUUGGUACGGCCAGCAUUGAUUUCAAUAGCAGGUCGAUUGAAAUCAGCAGUGGGGAGGAAUGGGGGGGGCGCGGCCCCUGUGACAAAGAGGCUUCUGCAGCCCCAGCUGUGUGGAUGGGAUCCCAAUGGGAUCUGCUCUCAGGGUCCCCAGUGGCCAUGUCACCCCUGUGCCACGGGUGGCUGCACGGAGGUGACAUGAUGUCCCCCAUGGGUGCUGGGGCACCGCGGGAGAAGAGACAUGGCUUUUCCCUCUCUCCUCUCCAGAACACAAUCGUCUUACUCCUCCCGAGCACCCACCGUGCUCCUGUCCCCAGAUCUUGCCCACAGUCAGGCCAGCCAUUGCACCACUCUGCAAUUCCUAUGAAGGGUCUGCUGCUUGCAAGGGGCCCAGGAGUCAAUUAAUCAAUCGCAAUCCAGAUCCCAGAGUGUAAUCAUAAUUAAUGUUCAGCCCUGAUUGAUCAUGGCACGGUUUCACUGUGUUCGCGGGGAUGAGCUGGGAUGACAGAACCGACCAUUUAAUGGUGCCUUUGCAGAACCCCCCCAUCCCUUCUCCUGCAGGAGGGACAGAGGUGAUUGUCCCCAAAAAUCAAAGCAGCUGGAAGGGGGGACGUCUCGAGGGUGCUGAGGGGUGGUGCUCAGCCACAGGCUGCUCAUGCAUGGGGUAGGUGACAGUGGCACCCACACCAUUCCCGUGGGCCCAGGCCCCAGGCAGCACCCAGCGUCUGGCCAAAAUUACAGCUGGAGGCUGGC
RNAcentral lists this long non-coding RNA (1697 nucleotides) under Anser cygnoides (Swan goose). Its description in RNAcentral is "lncRNA (ENSACDG00005010594.1)". The record is from RNAcentral. Lineage: Eukaryota; Metazoa; Chordata; Aves; Anseriformes; Anatidae.